GACCGGGAUGGACGCACCGCUGGUGCACCAGUUGUCAUGCCAAUGGCACGGCUGGGCAGCUAAGUGCGGACGGGAUAAACGCUGAAAGCAUCUAAGCGUGAAGCCCCCUCCAAGAUAAGAUAUCCCAUAGCAUAAGCUAGUAAGACCCCUCAAGGACUAUGAGGUUGAUAGGCUGCAGGUGUAAGAGUAGUGAUACUUUCAGCUGGGCAGUACUAAUAGGUCGAGGGCUUGACCAU
Molecule: ribosomal RNA, 236 nt
Filed under: Clostridia bacterium
Lineage: Bacteria; Bacillati; Bacillota; Clostridia
Description: partial 23S ribosomal RNA
Rfam family: Bacterial large subunit ribosomal RNA
Source: RNAcentral